AUCCACUCUUAGUGCAAGUGUUACUCAGAAGUAUUAUUGUUUCACUUUAUUGGGCUAUUAGCACUUGGCAGUCUCACAUCAGUUGGUGGUGACAUUCAUGCUGUUUCAUUAUCAGAGAAGCUCAUUGCACUUGUUUUGAUGGUGUGGGUGUGGUCAGGUACGGGUACAUUCCUGAAAGCGUGAUCUCAACUCUGUGACAAAUCUUGAUGCAGCAAGAGGCAAGUACACUCAACAACUUCAGCCAAUCAAGAGUUACAUGAAAAGUGCAAAGAUCAGUUCAGUAUUAUUUAGAAGAGUUACUGACUAUUUGAAAUAUAAUGUAAAUAAUGUUUUUGUUGUUGUUUAUUGAUGUUGUUGUUUAUUAUAUCGGAGUUAUAGGAGAGGUACGUG
Long non-coding RNA from Amphimedon queenslandica, 390 nucleotides. RefSeq lists it as uncharacterized. The record is from RefSeq and is a predicted model, not a curated record. NCBI's taxonomy places the organism in Eukaryota, Metazoa, Porifera, Demospongiae, Haplosclerida, Niphatidae. The transcript is spliced from 3 exons.